UACAGAGGGUGCGAGCGUUGUCCGGAAUCACUGGGCGUAAAGGGCGCGUAGGCGGUCUUGUAAGUCGGGGGGUGAAAUGCUGCGGCUCAACCGCAGCGCUGCCUUCGAGACUGCAAGACUGGAGCACGGUAGAGGCGGAUGGAAUUCCCGGUGUAGCGGUGGAAUGCGUAGAGAUGUGGAGGAACACCAAUGGCGAAGGCAGCCUUCUGGGCCAACACUGACGCUCAUGCACGAAAGCGUGGGGAGCAAACAGG
RNAcentral lists this ribosomal RNA (254 nucleotides) under uncultured bacterium. RNAcentral's name for it is "partial 16S ribosomal RNA". It matches the Rfam family "Bacterial small subunit ribosomal RNA", at positions 524 to 776 of the family's 1533-position model. The record is from RNAcentral.